UACGUAGGGUGCAAGCGUUAAUCGGAAUUACUGGGCGUAAAGCGUGCGCAGGCGGUGAUGUAAGACAGGUGUGAAAUCCCCGGGCUUAACCUGGGAACUGCAUUUGUGACUGCAUCGCUGGAGUGCGGCAGAGGGGGAUGGAAUUCCGCGUGUAGCAGUGAAAUGCGUAGAUAUGCGGAGGAACACCGAUGGCGAAGGCAAUCCCCUGGGCCUGCACUGACGCUCAUGCACGAAAGCGUGGGGAGCAAACAG
Molecule: ribosomal RNA, 252 nt
Filed under: uncultured bacterium
Lineage: Bacteria
Description: partial 16S ribosomal RNA
Rfam family: Bacterial small subunit ribosomal RNA
Source: RNAcentral